Molecule: ribosomal RNA, 253 nt
Filed under: uncultured bacterium
Lineage: Bacteria
Description: partial 16S ribosomal RNA
Rfam family: Bacterial small subunit ribosomal RNA
Source: RNAcentral
UACAGAGGUCUCAAGCGUUGUUCGGAUUUAUUGGGCGUAAAGAGCUCGUAGGCGGCUCGUUGCGUCGGCUGUGAAAACCCGCAGCUCAACUGUGGGCUUGCAGCUGAUACGGGCGGGCUGGAGUUCGGUAGGGGAGACUGGAAUUCCUGGUGUAGCGGUGAAAUGCGCAGAUAUCAGGAGGAACACCGGUGGCGAAGGCGGGUCUCUGGGCCGAUACUGACGCUGAGGAGCGAAAGCGUGGGGAGCGAACAGG